This 534-nucleotide ribosomal RNA is filed under the name uncultured Glomeromycotina. RNAcentral's name for it is "SSU rRNA". It matches the Rfam family "Eukaryotic small subunit ribosomal RNA", at positions 571 to 1098 of the family's 1831-position model. The record is from RNAcentral. Lineage: Eukaryota; Fungi; Glomeromycota.
CAGCCGCGGUAAUUCCAGCUCCAAUAGCGUAUAUUAAAGUUGUUGCAGUUAAAAAGCUCGUAGUUGAAUUUCGGGAUCAAUAUUUCGGUCAUGCCGUUGGUAUGCACUGUUAUCAUUGAUUUCUCACCUUCUAAAGAACCGUAAUGCCAUUAAUUUGGUGUUACGGGGAAUUAGGACUGUUACCUUGAAAAAAUUAGAGUGUUUAAAGCAGGCUCACGCUUGAAUACAUUAGCAUGGAAUAAUGAAAUAGGACAUCCGAUUCUAUUUUGUUGGUUUCUAGGAUCGAUGUAAUGAUUAAUAGGGAUAGUUGGGGGCAUUAGUAUUCAAUUGUCAGAGGUGAAAUUCUUGGAUUUAUUGAAGACUAACUACUGCGAAAGCAUUUGCCAAGGAUGUUUUCAUUAAUCAAGAACGAAAGUUAGGGAUCGAAGACGAUCAGAUACCGUCGUAGUCUUAACCUUAACCAUAAACUAUGCCGACUAGGGGAUCGGAUGAUGUUAAUUUUUAUAAUGACUCAUUUGGCACCUUACGGGAAAC